This 1490-nucleotide ribosomal RNA is filed under the name Staphylococcus aureus. Its description in RNAcentral is "partial 23S ribosomal RNA". It matches the Rfam family "Bacterial large subunit ribosomal RNA", at positions 12 to 1501 of the family's 2925-position model. Lineage: Bacteria; Bacillati; Bacillota; Bacilli; Caryophanales; Staphylococcaceae. The record is from RNAcentral.
UAAGGGCGCACGGUGGAUGCCUUGGCACUAGAAGCCGAUGAAGGACGUUACUAACGACGAUAUGCUUUGGGGAGCUGUAAGUAAGCUUUGAUCCAGAGAUUUCCGAAUGGGGAAACCCAGCAUGAGUUAUGUCAUGUUAUCGAUAUGUGAAUACAUAGCAUAUCAGAAGGCACACCCGGAGAACUGAAACAUCUUAGUACCCGGAGGAAGAGAAAGAAAAUUCGAUUCCCUUAGUAGCGGCGAGCGAAACGGGAAGAGCCCAAACCAACAAGCUUGCUUGUUGGGGUUGUAGGACACUCUAUACGGAGUUACAAAGGACGACAUUAGACGAAUCAUCUGGAAAGAUGAAUCAAAGAAGGUAAUAAUCCUGUAGUCGAAAAUGUUGUCUCUCUUGAGUGGAUCCUGAGUACGACGGAGCACGUGAAAUUCCGUCGGAAUCUGGGAGGACCAUCUCCUAAGGCUAAAUACUCUCUAGUGACCGAUAGUGAACCAGUACCGUGAGGGAAAGGUGAAAAGCACCCCGGAAGGGGAGUGAAAUAGAACCUGAAACCGUGUGCUUACAAGUAGUCAGAGCCCGUUAAUGGGUGAUGGCGUGCCUUUUGUAGAAUGAACCGGCGAGUUACGAUUUGAUGCAAGGUUAAGCAGUAAAUGUGGAGCCGUAGCGAAAGCGAGUCUGAAUAGGGCGUUUAGUAUUUGGUCGUAGACCCGAAACCAGGUGAUCUACCCUUGGUCAGGUUGAAGUUCAGGUAACACUGAAUGGAGGACCGAACCGACUUACGUUGAAAAGUGAGCGGAUGAACUGAGGGUAGCGGAGAAAUUCCAAUCGAACCUGGAGAUAGCUGGUUCUCUCCGAAAUAGCUUUAGGGCUAGCCUCAAGUGAUGAUUAUUGGAGGUAGAGCACUGUUUGGACGAGGGGCCCCUCUCGGGUUACCGAAUUCAGACAAACUCCGAAUGCCAAUUAAUUUAACUUGGGAGUCAGAACAUGGGUGAUAAGGUCCGUGUUCGAAAGGGAAACAGCCCAGACCACCAGCUAAGGUCCCAAAAUAUAUGUUAAGUGGAAAAGGAUGUGGCGUUGCCCAGACAACUAGGAUGUUGGCUUAGAAGCAGCCAUCAUUUAAAGAGUGCGUAAUAGCUCACUAGUCGAGUGACACUGCGCCGAAAAUGUACCGGGGCUAAACAUAUUACCGAAGCUGUGGAUUGUCCUUUGGACAAUGGUAGGAGAGCGUUCUAAGGGCGUUGAAGCAUGAUCGUAAGGACAUGUGGAGCGCUUAGAAGUGAGAAUGCCGGUGUGAGUAGCGAAAGACGGGUGAGAAUCCCGUCCACCGAUUGACUAAGGUUUCCAGAGGAAGGCUCGUCCGCUCUGGGUUAGUCGGGUCCUAAGCUGAGGCCGACAGGCGUAGGCGAUGGAUAACAGGUUGAUAUUCCUGUACCACCUAUAAUCGUUUUAAUCGAUGGGGGGACGCAGUAGGAUAGGCGAAGCGUGCGAUUGG